CGUGUAGGCGGCCUGAUAAGUCAGACGUGAAAGCCCGCGGCUUAACCGCGGGACUGCGUUUGAAACUGACAGGCUUGAGGAUCGGAGAGGGCAGUGGAAUUCCCAGUGUAGCGGUAGAAAUGCGUAGAUAUUGGGAGGAACACCAGUGGCGAAGGCGACUGCCUGGACGACACCUGACGCUGAGGCGCGAAAGCUAGGGGAGCAAACGGGAUUAGAUACCCCGGUAGUCCUAGCCGUAAACGAUGGGUACUAGGUGUGGGAGGUAUCGACCCCUCCGUGCCGCAGUUAACACAAUAAGUACCCCGCCUGGGGAGUACGGCCGCAAGGUUGAA
RNAcentral lists this ribosomal RNA (332 nucleotides) under uncultured bacterium. Its description in RNAcentral is "bacterial SSU rRNA". It matches the Rfam family "Bacterial small subunit ribosomal RNA", at positions 568 to 898 of the family's 1533-position model. The record is from RNAcentral.